RNAcentral lists this ribosomal RNA (484 nucleotides) under uncultured bacterium. RNAcentral's name for it is "partial 16S ribosomal RNA". It matches the Rfam family "Bacterial small subunit ribosomal RNA", at positions 30 to 507 of the family's 1533-position model. The record is from RNAcentral.
AUUGAACGCUGGCGGCAGGCCUAACACAUGCAAGUCGAGCGGAUGAAGGGAGCUUGCUCCUGGAUUCAGCGGCGGACGGGUGAGUACUGCCUAGGAAUCUGCCUGGUAGUGGGGGAUAACGUCCGGAAACGGGCGCUAAUACCGCAUACGUCCUGAGGGAGAAAGUGGGGGAUCUUCGGACCUCACGCUAUCAGAUGAGCCUAGGUCGGAUUAGCUAGUUGGUGGGGUAAAGGCCUACCAAGGCGACGAUCCGUAACUGGUCUGAGAGGAUGAUCAGUCACACUGGAACUGAGACACGGUCCAGACUCCUACGGGAGGCAGCAGUGGGGAAUAUUGGACAAUGGGCGAAAGCCUGAUCCAGCCAUGCCGCGUGUGUGAAGAAAGUCUUCGGAUUGUAAAGCACUUUAAGUUGGGAGGAAGGGCAGUAAGUUAAUACCUUGCUGUUUUGACGUUACCAACAGAAUAAGCACCGGCUAACUUCGUG